UAAUUCCGUGCCAGCAGCCGCGGUAAUACGGGAGUGGCAAGCGUUAUCCGGAAUUAUUGGGCGUAAAGCGUCCGCAGGCGGCCCUUCAAGUCUGCUGUUAAAAAGUGGAGCUUAACUCCAUCAUGGCAGUGGAAACUGUUGGGCUUGAGUGUGGUAGGGGCAGAGGGAAUUCCCGGUGUAGCGGUGAAAUGCGUAGAUAUCGGGAAGAACACCAGUGGCGAAGGCGCUCUGCUGGGCCAUCACUGACGCUCAUGGACGAAAGCCAGGGGAGCGAAAGGGAUUAGAUACCCCUGUAGUCCUGGCCGUAAACGAUGAACACUAGGUGUCGGGGGAAUCGACCCCCUCGGUGUCGUAGCCAACGCGUUAAGUGUUCCGCCUGGGGAGUACGCACGCAAGUGUGAAACUCAAAUGAAUUGACGG
RNAcentral lists this ribosomal RNA (420 nucleotides) under uncultured bacterium. RNAcentral's name for it is "bacterial SSU rRNA". It matches the Rfam family "Bacterial small subunit ribosomal RNA", at positions 498 to 916 of the family's 1533-position model. The record is from RNAcentral.